AAAAAAGGGAAAGGAAAACUCAUCAGUUAUCUCCAUAGAUCCAUUUCUCUGCAUUGCUUGUGUAACUAACCAAUUCCUCUGGCUUGAACCACAACUUGAUCUCAUCUUUGGCUGUCUCUGGUCCAUCGCUUCCAUGGAUGAUGUUCCUGCCAACUACAACAGCUAGAUCUCCUCGAAUGGUACCGGGCUCAGAUUUCUGUGGAUCUGUUGCUCCAAUAAGUUUUCGUCCAUAUCUGAUCACUCCCUCGCCUUCCCAA
Molecule: unclassified non-coding RNA, 257 nt
Filed under: Hevea brasiliensis (rubber tree)
Lineage: Eukaryota; Viridiplantae; Streptophyta; Magnoliopsida; Malpighiales; Euphorbiaceae
Source: RNAcentral